UACGGGGGGAGCAAGCGUUGUUCGGAUUUACUGGGCGUAAAGCGCACGUAGGCGGCUUCUUAAGUCGGUGGUGAAAUCCUGGAGCUCAACUCCAGAACUGCCUUCGAUACUGGGAAGCUCGAGUCCGGGAGAGGUGAGUGGAACUGCGAGUGUAGAGGUGAAAUUCGUAGAUAUUCGCAAGAACACCAGUGGCGAAGGCGGCUCACUGGCCCGGUACUGACGCUGAGGUGCGAAAGCGUGGGGAGCAAACAGG
RNAcentral lists this ribosomal RNA (253 nucleotides) under uncultured bacterium. RNAcentral describes it as "partial 16S ribosomal RNA". It matches the Rfam family "Bacterial small subunit ribosomal RNA", at positions 524 to 776 of the family's 1533-position model. The record is from RNAcentral.